Molecule: ribosomal RNA, 428 nt
Filed under: uncultured Acidobacterium sp.
Lineage: Bacteria; Pseudomonadati; Acidobacteriota; Terriglobia; Terriglobales; Acidobacteriaceae
Description: bacterial SSU rRNA
Rfam family: Bacterial small subunit ribosomal RNA
Source: RNAcentral
AACGCGAAGAACCUUACCUGGGCUCGAACGGCUUCUCAACGGCAGUGGAAACACUGCUACUCCGCAAGGGGGUGGAGUCGAGGUGCUGCAUGGCUGUCGUCAGCUCGUGUCGUGAGAUGUUGGGUUAAGUCCCGCAACGAGCGCAACCCUUGUCCUGUGUUGCCAUCCCGCAAGGGGGCACUCGCAGGAGACCGCCAGCGAUAAGUUGGAGGAAGGUGGGGAUGACGUCAAGUCCUCAUGGCCUUUAUGUCCAGGGCUACACACGUGCUACAAUGGCCGGUACAACGCGCCGCUAAGUCGCGAGACGGAGCCAAUCGCAAAAAACCGGUCUCAGUUCGGAUUGCAGGCUGCAACUCGCCUGCAUGAAGCUGGAAUCGCUAGUAAUGGCGGAUCAGAACGCCGCCGUGAAUACGUUCCCGGGCCUUGUA